This 350-nucleotide unclassified non-coding RNA is filed under the name fungal sp. Its description in RNAcentral is "partial internal transcribed spacer region". The stretch from base 1 to 46 matches the Rfam family "Eukaryotic small subunit ribosomal RNA", at positions 1786 to 1831 of the family's 1831-position model. The record is from RNAcentral. Lineage: Eukaryota; Fungi.
AAGUCGUAACAAGGUUUCCGUAGGUGAACCUGCGGAAGGAUCAUUACCAAAUCCAAAUCCUUUUAACCCCAUGUGAACUAUUGAUUGUGUAUUUGUCUUUUUGGGGGAAAGCUUUUUAGUAAAAAUAAUUAAAGGGAUAGUAGAGAGUAGUGUUAUUUUACCUAUUCUUUCUAGUUCUUUGUUUUUUUUUCUAUAUUUUUCCCCAAGAAGAUAUUAAUAUUUAGAAAAUUCUAUUUUCUGAGUUUUCUAAUAUAUUAAUUUAAAAACUACUUAAUAAAACUACUUUGGAAUUUUUUUUUUUAAAAAUUAAAAUAAAAAACAACUUUUAACGGUGGAUCUCUUGGCUCGUG